GAUGAAGAACGUAGCGAAAUGCGAUAAGUAAUGUGAAUUGCAGAAUUCAGUGAAUCAUCGAAUCUUUGAACGCACAUUGCGCCCAUUAGUAUUCUAGUGGGCAUGCCUGUUCGAGCGUCAUUAAGUCCACUUAAGCCCUGCUUAGUGUUGGGAGACUGCUCCAGCGGUGCUACCCUGUAGCUACCCUGCAGCUCCUCAAAGACAGCGGCGGAGUUGUGGUAUCCUCUGAGCUUAGUAACUUGUUCUAGCUUUCGAGUACACCACUUCCCAUGCCGUAAAACCCUUAAUUUUUAAUGGUUGACCUCGGAUCAGGUAGGAAUACCCGCUGAACUUAAGCAUAUCAAUAAGCGGAGGA
This 355-nucleotide unclassified non-coding RNA is filed under the name soil metagenome. RNAcentral describes it as "partial contains 5.8S ribosomal RNA, internal transcribed spacer 2, and large subunit ribosomal RNA". The stretch from base 1 to 120 matches the Rfam family "5.8S ribosomal RNA", at positions 35 to 154 of the family's 154-position model. The record is from RNAcentral.